GUGCUCCCUUUGACAGCACAUAUACUAAAGUUGUAAUGCUACCGAGAACAUUAGCAUGGCCCCUGCACAAGGAUUUCAUCCUACACUUAAAAAAACGAAUUUCAUUA
Sorex araneus (European shrew) is the source of this 107-nucleotide small nuclear RNA. The record is from Ensembl. Lineage: Eukaryota; Metazoa; Chordata; Mammalia; Eulipotyphla; Soricidae.